CCACGUAGGGGCCGAACGUUGUCCGGAUUUAUUGGGCGUAAAGGGCUCGUAGGCGGUUUGACAAGUCGGUCGUGAAAGCCCGGGGCUCAACCCCGGGACGCCGAUCGAAACUGUCAUGACUAGGGUCCGGUAGAGGUGAGUGGAAUUCUCGGUGUAGCGGUGAAAUGCGCAGAUAUCGAGAGGAACACCAGUAGCGAAGGCGGCUCACUGGGCCGGUACCGACGCUGAGGAGCGAAAGCGUGGGGAGCAAACAGGAUUAGAAACCCCAGUAGUCC
RNAcentral lists this ribosomal RNA (275 nucleotides) under uncultured bacterium. Its description in RNAcentral is "partial 16S ribosomal RNA". It matches the Rfam family "Bacterial small subunit ribosomal RNA", at positions 523 to 796 of the family's 1533-position model. The record is from RNAcentral.